RNAcentral lists this small RNA (100 nucleotides) under Pedobacter suwonensis. Its description in RNAcentral is "Flavo-1 RNA". It matches the Rfam family "Flavo-1 RNA". The record is from RNAcentral. Lineage: Bacteria; Pseudomonadati; Bacteroidota; Sphingobacteriia; Sphingobacteriales; Sphingobacteriaceae.
GUCUAAACCCGACAGCAGUGGAAAUCCUUUUUGCUGCAGAUGCUUUGUACCUCGGUGCGAAAAAGUAGCAAAAAGAUUGUAGCGAAUGGCGGGAACAGAC